This is a non-coding RNA of Vicugna pacos (alpaca), 3472 nucleotides long. The record is from RefSeq and is a predicted model, not a curated record. NCBI's taxonomy places the organism in Eukaryota, Metazoa, Chordata, Mammalia, Artiodactyla, Camelidae.
AGAAACAGACUCACAGACAUAGAAAACAAACUUAUGAUUGCCAGGGGAGAAAGAGGAGGGUGGAGUAAAAUUGGGAAUUCGUGAUCUGCAGAUACUAACUAUAUAAAAUAGAUAAACAACAAGGCCCUACUGUCUAGCACAGGGAACUAUAUUCAAUACCCUGUGGUAGCCUACAACGAAAAAGAACAUGAAAGAGAGUAUAUACGUAAUAACUGAAUCACUAUGCUGUACACCAGAAAUGAAUGCAACAUUGUAAAUCAGCCGUACUUCAGUUGAAGAAAGAAGAAAAAAAAAUGAUCCUUACUGAGAUUUGCACCUUUUAUGUGAAUACUCCACCGUGGCUGAGCUGGGAGAAGCAGCUGAACCAGCCUUAUAAGUGACAGCGUCUUAAAAGAGAUUUCGUAUCAGAGAGUUUGGUGUGGAUGAGCAGGGAGGUCAGAUGUUUUCUCGUGAGGACAAAGCCCACACAGAUUGCAAAUAAAAUUUUGGGGCUCCUCAGGACUUGCUUAAAGAGAAAGUGGGGGUUAGCAGCCUACUGAUACAGAAAGGCUAAGGGAAAGCCUCUCUUUGAUCAACUUGAGUUAGAAAAUUUCCACUUCAACGUUGUCCGUCCCUCAUCUUUCACAUGUAGUAAAUUCACUAUCAAAGGCCAAAGUAUUCUCUUUCUUUUCUUUUUUUCCCCUCUCUUACCACAAAACCAGCUAUUAUUUAGGUCUCUUGCAAAGCUGCACAAACCAACUGUUCCUCCUCAGAUUAUGCCUUUCAGAGCUCAGGUGAUACGCCUCAUUGGGUUACACCUUCCAUGUUUUGUGGUCAGAUGUGGGCUGUGUCAUUCUACGCUAUUUCACCUCGCAAGAAAAUAUUUAUGUAUUAGCCUCACCAGGUCCCAUUUCCUCUGGGAAUGGCCCUGUGCACAGGGUCUUCAUGCCAGCAGCGAGCAGUUGAAUCACUGGGUUUUGUGGGACCACUGGACAUCUGGCAGAAAACCAGGAAAGCACUCCUUUCGCUCUGCGACUUCACUCAGCUGGAAAACUACAAGAUGUGUGACUGCAGAUGUGUGACUGCAGGAGAAGUUUCUGAGAGGUUGAGUAUGACACUUUGAGAAAGUGCUUGGAAGGAAACUGGCUAAUGUUGAAGGAAUGGAAAUUUGCACCAUUCACAGAAUUCUUUUUUUCCCCCUAGAUCUGGUGAUACAACAGCUUACUUGUACAAGUUUUUCAUUAUUUUUAAUUCCUUUCUUUUUAUUCCUGGUAAAUAAUAAUUCCCAUUAUUCCCCAAAGAGCAAAACUGAUACCCUUCUAGAGCUGUGGUGGGCUACAAUGGCAAAAACCUUCAAGGAAACUCAUUUGACCUUGUGUAUCAACAGCCAUGCAAAUUUUUUAUAACCCUUGACCAAAUAAUUUUACCUCUAGGAAUCCAUUCUCAGCACCAAAAAGAUAAUGUUCGAAGAUGUUCAUCAAGCUGUUGUUUACAAGAGUUAGAACUUAACAUAAACCUAACAAUAGGGGAAAUGGGACUAUAAAAUAUUUUCUUGAUGCUUAUUGUUAUGCAAACAAUGUAAUAAUAUUGAAAUAGGUUAUGUACUCUUACUGAUUACAAAUACAUAGGCAAAAUAUGCACAGUCAUAAUAAUAAAUAAAAUUCAUUGUCUGCUUAAUAUAUGACAGGUGAUGUGUCAGAUGCUUUACGGACUUGUCUCCUUUAACCUGCCCACCAGAUUAAGGCAAAUUUAGUAUAUGUCCCUUGUACAGGUGAGGAAAAAGAAUCUUAGGAAUUGGUUUAUCUGAACACUGGUAGACUGAAAUUUGAGUCCCAUCCUAAUUGUCAACAGAGCUUACACUCUGAAUGUGUAAUUCCUAGUGAUAUGCGGUUAAUUUUGAGUGAAAAACAAACAUCAACUACCAAAAAAACCCCACAAAACCAAACCCCAAAACAACCCAAUACCAAUAAACAAAAAUCUGACAGCCUCUACUCUUAUGCUAAUCACAUGAAAAAGUAAUUAGAAAGUCUUAUACCAAGAGAAAAUAGCCAAAAUUGAAAAGAUUAAUCUUUCGCCAGUUAAUAAAAUGACUGGAAGCUCUCUGAAGCAACACUUAAAUGUCUAAGGUCUUUUCCUUUGGAUGGGAAUUGGUUACUACAUGUAUGAUCUUAUACUAGGAGAAUCUAAGUAAUACGAUUUUGCCAGUUUAAGGAAGCAAAUCUUACAAGAGCAAUUCUAUCACAUACGUGGAAAAGACUGUCCAGAGGGACUUGAGAAUUUUCUCGUGGACUGGCUCCUAGACCAGUGACCCUUAACUUAUUUUUUGAGAACGUAUUUGAAAAUACUAAUGGCAACUAUGAUCUCUCUUUUUCUCUCUCUUUCCAGAAAAAACACAGUCUUUUCUCGGUGUCCACUUGGGAUUGGUUCCUGGACCUCUGAGGGUACCGAAAUCCGAGGAGCUCAAGUCCCUUGUAUAAAAUGACGUAGUACAGCUGGCCUUCCAUUGCAGUGGGUUCUGCGGAUUCCUCUAACUGCAGAUCAAAUUUUGGUUGGUUGAAUACACAGAUGAGGAAUCCAUGGAUAAUAGAAGAUCACUGUAUUAACAUUUAUACAACAUUUUCUUGUAUAUCUAUCUAUUUUUAUUCUUCGAAAUCUUUUAGGUUCAUUGCUGGUUUGAGGAUUUAAAUUAAAAUUUCCUUUCCUGUUUUGGUUUGCAGAACGUUCUUUGUCCUACAGUUUUGGGGGUAACAUUCUUAAAUAGUUCAAACACUGAUACAGUUUCUUCUGAGUCUUGUCUACACCCGGGUAACUAAGAUUUGUAAUAUUACGAUGAAGAAAAAAUGGAGGAUGUCCAUCGCUAAGAAUCAAAGACAGUGCCUGGCUGUGUAACAAAGAGAAAAGCUUUGACAGGACUGGGCAACCAGAAGACAGAAAUAACCACGUGAAGAGGUCAUUGGCCCGACUUUUCCAGAAACUUGCCCCAGGCAGUGGGCUGUACGUCUGUUACAGAAGACUGCAAAAAUACCAGCCAUUGUGCAUCUGGCCAAUUAUGCAAUGCUCUAUCACAAGGGGAAAUUCCUUCCUCACCCAGCUGCUGCUCAGUGGCCUGCCUCUCUGAGCAAGAAGAGCCAGGCUGGUCUCCAGGUUACAGCGUCUGAGCACCCUCCUGUGAGGCCGCCUUUGAAGCUGCACUGGGCGUCCCCACCGCCACCCUGACCUUCCCACUCAAGCUCCUGAUGCAGCUGCUGCCUCCGGACCCCCCGUGCUGCCUGGGGAACCGAGUCAGGACUCCUGCAGCAAAUGGGCAGGGCAGCUAGCUGCAAGGAGAUCUGAAAGUGGCCAAAACAAUGAUGUUUUCCAGAUGAGGGUGAGGUUCCAGCCAAGACCAUCACCAGGUAGAGUAUCUUGUUCCUAAUUUUUACAUCCUAAAAAGUACACACAAGACUCAAAGAUCAUUUGGGAAGGAGGAAUAAAGUCAGUCAAGAACAGGAAA